Molecule: ribosomal RNA, 631 nt
Filed under: Salmonella enterica subsp. enterica serovar Heidelberg
Lineage: Bacteria; Pseudomonadati; Pseudomonadota; Gammaproteobacteria; Enterobacterales; Enterobacteriaceae
Description: partial 23S ribosomal RNA
Rfam family: Bacterial large subunit ribosomal RNA
Source: RNAcentral
GCGUACACGGUGGAUGCCCUGGCAGUCAGAGGCGAUGAAGGGCGUGCUAAUCUGCGAUAAGCGCCGGUAAGGUGAUAUGAACCGUUAUAACCGGCGAUACCCGAAUGGGGAAACCCAGUGUGACUCGUCACACUAUCAUUAACUGAAUCCAUAGGUUAAUGAGGCGAACCGGGGGAACUGAAACAUCUAAGUACCCCGAGGAAAAGAAAUCAACCGAGAUUCCCCCAGUAGCGGCGAGCGAACGGGGAGGAGCCCAGAGCCUGAAUCAGCAUGUGUGUUAGUGGAAGCGUCUGGAAAGGCGCGCGAUACAGGGUGACAGCCCCGUACACAAAAGCGCAUGUGCUGUGAGCUCGAUGAGUAGGGCGGGACACGUGGUAUCCUGUCUGAAUAUGGGGGGACCAUCCUCCAAGGCUAAAUACUCCUGACUGACCGAUAGUGAACCAGUACCGUGAGGGAAAGGCGAAAAGAACCCCGGCGAGGGGAGUGAAAAAGAACCUGAAACCGUGUACGUACAAGCAGUGGGAGCACCCUUUGGGGUGUGACUGCGUACCUUUUGUAUAAUGGGUCAGCGACUUAUAUUCUGUAGCAAGGUUAACCGUAUAGGGGAGCCGUAGGGAAACCGAGUCUUAAC